UACGUAGGGAGCGAGCGUUAUCCGGAAUUAUUGGGCGUAAAGGGUGCGUAGAUGGUUGAUAUAAGUCUUUUGUAAAAAUGCUAGGCUCAACCUAGUAGGGCAAAAGAUACUGAUGAACUAGAGUACGGCAGAGGCAAGUGGAACUACAUGUGUAGCGGUGAAAUGCGUAGAUAUAAGGAAGAACACCAGUGGCGAAGGCGGAUGACUGGACGGCAACUGACGGUGAGGCGCGAAAGCGUGGGGAGCAAACAGG
Molecule: ribosomal RNA, 253 nt
Filed under: uncultured Anaeroplasma sp.
Lineage: Bacteria; Bacillati; Mycoplasmatota; Mollicutes; Anaeroplasmatales; Anaeroplasmataceae
Description: partial 16S ribosomal RNA
Rfam family: Bacterial small subunit ribosomal RNA
Source: RNAcentral